GGGCCCGUAGCUCAACGGUCAGAGCAGACCGCUCAUAACGGUUUGGUUGGGGGUUCGAAUCCCUCCGGGCCUACCA
RNAcentral lists this transfer RNA (76 nucleotides) under Limimaricola pyoseonensis. Its description in RNAcentral is "tRNA_Met_CAT". It matches the Rfam family "tRNA". From Rfam's summary of the family: Transfer RNA (tRNA) molecules are approximately 80 nucleotides in length. RNAcentral also lists the same sequence under 2 other names. Lineage: Bacteria; Pseudomonadati; Pseudomonadota; Alphaproteobacteria; Rhodobacterales; Paracoccaceae. The record is from RNAcentral.